UACGUAGGCGGCUAUACAAGUUGGGGGUGAAAUCCCAGGGCUUAACCCUGGAACUGCCCUCAAAACUGUAUAGCUAGAAUCCUGGAGAGGUGAGUGGAAUUCCUAGUGUAGAGGUGAAAUUCGUAGAUAUUAGGAAGAACACCAGUGGCGAAGGCGGCUCACUGGACAGGUAUUGACGCUAAGGUACGAAAGCGUGGGGAGCGAACA
This 207-nucleotide ribosomal RNA is filed under the name uncultured bacterium. RNAcentral's name for it is "partial 16S ribosomal RNA". It matches the Rfam family "Bacterial small subunit ribosomal RNA", at positions 568 to 774 of the family's 1533-position model. The record is from RNAcentral.